GCAAAUUUUGUGCUCUAUGUAAUGAUGUCAGAGUUUUAAGAAAGUAUAGCUUUUUAAAACCUGAGUUGAUUGUGAGACUGUUAUUCUACAAAUAAGUGUAACGGAUAUUUUAAAGAAAAGUGAAAGUGCAUGAGAUAAGCUCCAACCGCCUGUGGAAAGAAUGAAACAAAAAACGCGACACGCUACAAAAGCAAUAGCGCGAAAGAGAAAGAAAGUAUAAUUCAAGUUUGACAAUCACCAACCAAGCAAAUUCGAACCAGCCUCAGCAAACCGCACCUCUACACACCUUGGCUGCAGCGCAUGUAUGACGUUUGCUUCCAGCACGCGCGAAAAAGAGACGGCUAGCACAAUCAAGCGAAAUCAGCCCGCCGUAUAGCACGGGGCAGAGAGAAAGCGCGCAUGCGACGGCAGCUCACCGCAGCAAAGCAAGUCUCGAUCUCGACGCGCACACACAGUCCAGUGGUGACGGCAAAGUGGCUUCAGGAAAAGUUCGCUCGACAAACGCAGUGAAAAACUCAAGGCUUGUGUUUGUGUGUGCGCGCAUGUGUGUGUGAUUGUCUUGUUUUUCCGUGCGUGCGUGCUGUGCUGUGCUGUGUUGUGUUUACGCGUGUCGAACAGCAAAAGGAAAAGCUGUGCCAAAAAAACACAGUCGCUUGCGCACGCCCUGGAGAAGGAACCGUCGAAGCGCAAGGGCGAACGACUGGCAAGUGUGUGAGAGAGUGAGAGAGCGAAAGACCGAGAGCGAGCGGGAGGGAGACGGAAAGACAGAGAAAACUUCCUCCUCUCUACACUCUACACAGCCAUUAUUCAUCGCUGCUCACGCAUCCAAAACGGUGUUUGAUAAGGGUGGUGCGCUGGAAGUGCGCUCAUCUACCCCAGAGAAUCCCGUACACCUACACACACACGCAGCACUGUGUCCCGCCCGUGGUGUGCCCGUUGGAAGUGUGUAAGUCAUCGGGGACGGCGCGCUGUAGCGUUAUCAUUGUCCGUCGU
Molecule: long non-coding RNA, 993 nt
Organism: Anopheles coluzzii
Lineage: Eukaryota; Metazoa; Arthropoda; Insecta; Diptera; Culicidae
Exons: 2
Source: RefSeq, a predicted model, not a curated record